RNAcentral lists this unclassified non-coding RNA (1581 nucleotides) under Hevea brasiliensis (rubber tree). Lineage: Eukaryota; Viridiplantae; Streptophyta; Magnoliopsida; Malpighiales; Euphorbiaceae. The record is from RNAcentral.
AGGCAGAGGUCAAACUUCUUUUGACAGUUCAUCACAGAAACUUGACAACCCUUGUUGGUUUCUGCAGUGAAGGUUCCAACUUGGGGCUCAUCUACGAGUAUUUGGCCAGGAGAGAUUUAGAAAUGCACCUAUCAGGUUCAUUUAUAUUAAACAUAUUUUUUGGAUGACUUGAUGAUAAAUCUAAACUUGUUAUUAACUACUGCGACUGCUGUGUCAGCAUACCAUAGACAGUACUUUUAGGUUCUGCUAUAACAAUUCUCUUUGAUUUCAUUAGCAAAUGCAAUUUUUACAGCAAUAAUCUUUUUCAAAUUGCAAGCCCAUUGCCUAAAAUUUUAGGCCUUCAUAUCAUAAAUUACGAGAACAUAGUUGAUACAAUUUUUAUAAGUGGCAUCAAAUAUUUUUCUAUUCCCAAUAGAAAUUUGAGGCACAGCUUUUGUAUAAAUGUAGAAAUGAGCACAAAUGUGUUGAGUUGGGAGAGGAGACUUCAAAUAGCAGUCGAUGCAGCAAAAGGAUUGGAGUAUCUCCACAAUGGGUGCAAGCCCCCAAUUGUACAUAGGGACGUGAAGACUGCAAACAUCUUGUUGAAUGAUAAAUUCCAAGCCAAACUGGCUGAUUUUGGACUGUCCAGACCUUUCCUAUUUGACGGUGGCACUCACAUAUCAACAGAUGUUGUUGGCACUCCUGGGUACCUUGAUCCCGAGUGAGUAGUUUAUAAUACUGUCUAGAAUAUUUGAUUUAUGCUUUUCAAAAAAAUUAUUUCACUUGUACUUUUGUUAAAGGAACUCCUCCUUUCCCUUUAAUCCUCCUAGAAACAAAAGGAAGAUACUUUCUAUUCAACAGCACGGGUGCAAAUUUGCAAAUUUGUCCACUUAUAAAAGAACUAGAUCAAUCAAAGAAACAUACUAAUGAUUAAUCGAGAACUGACAUGGUUCGAGUUUAAUGUUCUGGUUUUCAGGUACCCUGUGACAUACAGAUUAACAGAGAAAAGUGAUGUGUAAAGCUUUGGCAUAGUUCUUUUGAGGAUAAUCACAGGCAAACCUGUGCUUGCAAGAACCAACCCAAUGACUUAUUUAAGACAGUGGGUUAGCUCCCUGCUUGCAAACGGAGAUAUUGAAAACGUUGUUGAUCCACGGUUAGGUGGAGACUUCAACAUCAACUCUGUCUGGAAGGCAGUGGAAAUAGCAAUGGCUUGUACAUCUCCAACUUCCACUAGAAGGCCAACUAUGCUUCAAGUAGUGAAUGAAUUGAAUGAGUGCUUAGCAGCAGAAAUAGCUCCAACAAAGGAGAGGCAUGAGAUUGAAUUGAAUGGUUCCACUGGAGUGUCGAAUGAAUCAACUCCGCUAGCUAGGUAGUAGCUCAAAGAUUUAGGGCUAUUAUGGUACUAAUUGAUUUACAUUCUAUAUGUAGUACUGUCAUUGCACGAACUGAAUAAAAUCCUGCACACUUCGAUAAGUAGUUAAUCUAUGUUCUUGCCAGCACACCUAAAAAGGGCAUAGCAAAACAAGAAAACUAUUUAGUAUCAAUUGUUUAUAUGAAAACAAUUAGGCUUCAACUAUACCCUAUGUUUGGAUCAUGAUUGGG